This 379-nucleotide ribosomal RNA is filed under the name uncultured eukaryote. RNAcentral's name for it is "partial 18S ribosomal RNA". It matches the Rfam family "Eukaryotic small subunit ribosomal RNA", at positions 592 to 976 of the family's 1831-position model. The record is from RNAcentral.
CAAUAGCGUAUAUUAAGGUUGUUGCGGUAAAAAAGCUCGUAGUUGGAUUUCUGUUGAGAGCGACCGGUCCAUACCAUGUAUGCGUAUCUGGCUUGCUCUCGGCAUCCUCUCGAUAGACGUUACUGCGCUUGAUUGCGUGGUGCGGAUCUCGGGACUUUUACUUUGAGGAAAUUAGAGUGUUCACGGCAGGCUUUCGCCAGAAUACAUUAGCAUGGAAUAAUACUAUAGGAUCUUGGUUCUAUUUUGUUGGUUUCUAGAAUUGAGAUAAUGAUUAAUAGGGACAAUUGGGGGCAUUCGUAUCAACACGUCAGAGGUGGAAUUCUUGGAUUGUGUUGCGACGAACUACUGCGAAAGCAUUUGCCAAGGAUGUUUUCAUUGA